AGGUGGUGCAUGGUUGUCGUCAGCUCGUGUCGUGAGAUGUUGGUUAAGUCCCGCAACGAGCGCAACCCUCGACCUUAGUUGCCAGCAUUCAGUUGGGCACUCUAAGGUGACUGCCGGCGUAAAAGUCGGAGGAAGGUGGGGAUGACGUCAAAUCAUCAUGCCCCUUAUGACCUGGGCUACACACGUGCUACAAUGGGCGGUACAAAGGGUCGCGAACCCGCGAGGGGGGAGCCAAUCCCAAAAAGCCGCUCUCAGUUCGGAUUGCAGGCUGCAACUCGCCUGCAUGAAGCCGGAAUCGCUAGUAAUCGCGGAUCAGCAUGCCGCGGUGAAUACGGUUCCCGGGCCUU
Molecule: ribosomal RNA, 347 nt
Filed under: uncultured Anoxybacillus sp.
Lineage: Bacteria; Bacillati; Bacillota; Bacilli; Caryophanales; Anoxybacillaceae
Description: bacterial SSU rRNA
Rfam family: Bacterial small subunit ribosomal RNA
Source: RNAcentral